AUCUAAUUAAAUCAUAUUUAAUUAGAAUUAAUCUCAAUCCAUUGACUUAAUCAAAUUAAGCCAAUUAGCAAUCGAAUUGCUAAUCGAUCCUCCUGCAACACUUGCAUUGGAUUAAAUGUCAAUCGUAUUGAUCAUUUAACCCUAGAACGAUUCUUAAUCGUUGAUCAACCAUCUGAUCAGAUCAUGAACUCUAAUGUGUGUGACCUCAUAGGUCCGAACCUAAGCCGAUAGCACAGAAAUAAAUUUUUGUACCAAUUGAAGUGACCAUCUAGCAAUGGU
RNAcentral lists this long non-coding RNA (279 nucleotides) under Elaeis guineensis (African oil palm). Its description in RNAcentral is "long non-coding RNA (EGUI_LNC036830)". Lineage: Eukaryota; Viridiplantae; Streptophyta; Magnoliopsida; Arecales; Arecaceae. The record is from RNAcentral.